This 259-nucleotide ribosomal RNA is filed under the name uncultured bacterium. Its description in RNAcentral is "partial 16S ribosomal RNA". The record is from RNAcentral.
CUGCUGCCUCCCGUAGGAGUCUGGGCCGUGUCUCAGUCCCAAUGUGGCCGGUCCGCCCUCUCAGGCCGGCUACUGAUCGUCGCCUUGGUGGGCCGUUACCCCGCCAACUGGCUAAUCAGACGCGGAUCCAUCGUAUACCGCCGGAGCCUUUCACACUGUCCCAUGCGGGACCGUGCGCUUAUGCGGUAUUAGCACCUGUUUCCAGGUGUUAUCCCCCUGUAUACGGCAGGUUAUCCACGCGUUACUCACCCGUCCGCCA